CCGGACGCAGUGCUGUAAAAUAAAGGCGCACCCCAAGUGUUUCUCUAUGGCCCAUUGAAAAGUCUUCAAAUUACUUAAAUUAAGGAUAAGCAGAAGAUAAUAUGACUCAAAUGGACAGUCGCCGUUAGCCGCCUCCGCCACCUCCCUAGCCUAUUGAUCGACCCGUGAGCAAGCUAGAAAACGCGAGACCAGAUGCGCCAUAACACCAGCAGGUUCCCAUGAAAGCGAGACCAACACGUUCGCCGACAGGGCUACAUGCGUUUCGUCGGGGUCAAAUCGUUGGACUCCAUGCCGACCCCCUACUGACACUAGUAUUAAAAGCAACGUAUAACGCGAUGCCACCAGCGAGGGUGCUUACCACUUGUCAGCAAGAGAAUCUUUACUCUUCUCCGCGCUGUAAAUAGUUAAAAACGAAAGCCACUCUCUAUUCGUGAGAAUGAAAACGAAACGAGGCUUGUUUAUUCUCGAGUGACACCUCUCCCAUUCUUUUUCCGCCAUUUUUCCGAGAAUUAUUUUUUUAUAGGGCGAAGAAAUGGAGGUCGUUAAGAAAUAGCGGAAAUUGUGGUAGUCGGCAGGGGAGUUUAUAAAUACCAAGUCGAUGCGCACUUUAAAAAUUACUGAUUACAGAUUCCGAUACUAGAAAGGAAAUGAAUAAAGUACACAGAUAAUACAUGCUUAAUCAUAACUGUAGUGCAAAACAGAUACACUUAUCCACGAUUGUAUCUUGAUAAUGGAUAUAAGAAAAGGAAAUCAGAGAAGACACGAAUUAAAUAAUUUAAAAAUUUAUUGACAAAGUAAAUGUAUCGUUUGUCGAGCAUGCGUGAUUGAUGAAGAAAACCGACCUUUGACAUUAGGCGAGAAACUGGCGGAUGAAAUGCUUGUUCAAUAUUCCUUAUCGCAAAUCAACAAUGUUACCGGAUGAACGCGCGUAGCACCGACGAAUUUGGCCUAUUUGCGGAAGAUGAAAGGGAAAGAAUAAAAUUCGCCUAUCAAAAGAAUAUAGAUUGCGGAAGGUUAGUGACGCUCUCUCCACGAGUUGGCACAAAAGCGAAGCAGAUCGCUCGAUGGACGGUAAAAACCAUUCCCCUUUUAUGCAACGAGCGAUAUAUAAGAGACAUUUUAUGAAUAGGCAAGCACGAUUUAAUUCCUGUGGAGGCUUUAAAUGCCGAAGGAAAAAAUCUGUUCGGAUUAUUGUCUGCUGUAACUACUGAAACGUUUCAAUGGUCAAACGAUCCUCAUAGAAUCCUUUUCAACUGCCUUUGGAAGUUAAUCGAAGAACUUAAAUAUAACGAAGAAUUCCAUUACGAAUAUGCACGAACCGUGCAAACCUAACCUAAAAAAAAUUGUUUCAAAGUUGACCUUGUGAUGUCUUUGAUAAUCUGACCUCUGGUUUUUUCCAUGAAACUCUAACAACCCCGUUGACCUAUUUCAACCUCCCACCUUUCUAUGACACCUCUAUUCACAAAUUAAAAGGGGACGCCUUUAUUUCUCCAUUUAAAAGUUUACUUGGAAAGUUCGGAACUUUCUUUGAAAGGUGUAUUUGAAAGCUAUUGAAAGUAUUUACCACAAAAUUUUCUCCUCGUUUUAAAAAGAUAUCGAAUGAAAGAAGAAAGUAACGCAAUCCUAAUCAAGCUGAUGAAAGUAUAUAGUUCUUUAUAAAUAUAAUAAGACUACGAUAAACGUAGUCGCAGUAGCAUGUUCCAGGCACAGAUGAUCACAGCACACAUCGAAUGACGUCAAAACACGUUGAACCUGCUGGUACGAUAUGUAUAUGUACAGUGACGUAAGCAAAAGAUUUCUUCGGGCAACGAAAGG
RNAcentral lists this long non-coding RNA (1815 nucleotides) under Eufriesea mexicana. RNAcentral's name for it is "uncharacterized LOC108555707". Lineage: Eukaryota; Metazoa; Arthropoda; Insecta; Hymenoptera; Apidae. The record is from RNAcentral.